AGCGAACGUUAGCGGCGGGCUUAACACAUGCAAGUCGAACGAGAAAGAAGACUUCGGUCUUUGAGUAAAGUGGCGGACGGGUGAGUAACACGUGAGCAAUCUGCCCUCCGGCGGGGGACAACAGUUCGAAAGGACUGCUAAUACCGCAUACGUCAUUCGGGUCUUCGGACCUGAAUGGGAAAGACUGCCUCUUCUUGAAAGCAGUCACCGGAGGAGGAGCCCGCGUCGCAUCAGCUAGUUGGUGGGGUAAUGGCCUACCAAGGCUAAGACGCGUAGCUGGUCUGAGAGGAUGAUCAGCCACACUGGAACUGAGACACGGUCCAG
This 324-nucleotide ribosomal RNA is filed under the name uncultured bacterium. RNAcentral describes it as "bacterial SSU rRNA". It matches the Rfam family "Bacterial small subunit ribosomal RNA", at positions 29 to 334 of the family's 1533-position model. The record is from RNAcentral.